This 208-nucleotide long non-coding RNA is filed under the name Olea europaea (common olive). RNAcentral's name for it is "long non-coding RNA (OEUR_LNC008646)". The record is from RNAcentral. Lineage: Eukaryota; Viridiplantae; Streptophyta; Magnoliopsida; Lamiales; Oleaceae.
UAUGUAUAAAGAACAAAAAGAAAAAUUUAGUAGCAAAUUAAUACACGAGUUCAUAAUGAGACUUAUCAACUGCGACAAAAAUAAUGAAGUUUGGAUACGAUUAGACGAUCAUGUGACCCAUUUUAGCAUGCAAGAAUUUUGUCUAAUCACUGGAUUACCAUGCCAUGAAGUUGCUGUUGAUCUUAAUUUCAGUAAUACUCGACUUAGG